AGCGAACGCUGGCGGCAGGCCUAACACAUGCAAGUCGAACGAACUCUUCGGAGUUAGUGGCGGACGGGUGAGUAACACGUGGGAACGUGCCUUUAGGUUCGGAAUAACUCAGGGAAACUUGUGCUAAUACCGAAUGUGCCCUUCGGGGGAAAGAUUUAUCGCCUUUAGAGCGGCCCGCGUCUGAUUAGCUAGUUGGUGAGGGAAAGGCUCACCAAGGCGACGAUCAGUAGCUGGUCUGAGAGGAUGAUCAGCCACAUUGGGACGGAGACACGGCCCAAACUCCUACGGGAGGCAGCAGUGGGGAGUCGUGCGCAAUGGGCGAAAGCCUGACGCAGCCAUGCCGCGUGAAUGAUGAAGGUCUUAGGAUUGUAAAAUUCUUUCACCGGGGACGAUAAUGACGGUACCCGGAGAAGAAGCCCCGGCUAACUUCGUGCCAGCAGCCGCCGUAA
This 449-nucleotide ribosomal RNA is filed under the name uncultured bacterium. RNAcentral describes it as "partial 16S ribosomal RNA". It matches the Rfam family "Bacterial small subunit ribosomal RNA", at positions 29 to 523 of the family's 1533-position model. The record is from RNAcentral.